UCCCUUGAUCAAAUUGUCAAUAGAUUUGGGAAUUCCAAGUUCAACUUUACGCAGCAAGAUAAAAUGUUUGGAAAGUUUUGCAAAAGACAAACAAUUAAAGCAAGAGAACUACAAAAAAGCUGUGCUUCAUGUUGAGUGGGGUACAUCGCUCACGAAAGCAGCUUUGGAAAAAAAUGUGAAUAGAAAAAUACUAAAGAAAGUGCAGAUUUCAAAUAAAUUGAAUGCAGAAAUGGAAGUAAAUAAUCUCUUAGACUUAGAGAAUGAAAAAUCUCCAAAGCAAAAAAAUGAACUUUCAAAAGAUUACUUUGCAAAACAAGAAAGAUCCGAACUAGCUCUGAAAGACGUAAUAAAGGGAGAUACGAUUGCCAAAGCUUGCAGGAAUCAUAACAUCAGUCGCCACAUUUUAUCUCUAAAGGUGGAAAAAUAUCGACUUUUUCUUGCCGCAAAUUCGUCACAGUGACUGAUAAAGAUUGAUAAAGAUCAAGAUUGGCCGUACUAAGCGAAUGUCCGACGAAUCCUUUUUUAAAAGUGUUUUAUGAAUUGUCAUUUUCCGAUCUCAUCUAAUAUUGUUGUGUGCAUGUGUACGUGUUUCGCCUCAUUUGGUAACCUCCAACAAAUGUGUUUCCAUAUACUCCACUCCCACUUUAACACGUUAAAAACAAUUAGUAGGUGACCGUAUGUUUUUCGUUAAGCCUCUAUACAUUUUUGUGGAAAAAUGAUACUCAUCAAAAUACACACACACUCUUAUAUAUAACCAAAUC
Daphnia pulicaria is the source of this 761-nucleotide long non-coding RNA. RefSeq lists it as uncharacterized. The transcript is spliced from 4 exons. Lineage: Eukaryota; Metazoa; Arthropoda; Branchiopoda; Diplostraca; Daphniidae. The record is from RefSeq and is a predicted model, not a curated record.